Molecule: ribosomal RNA, 613 nt
Filed under: uncultured bacterium
Lineage: Bacteria
Description: bacterial SSU rRNA
Rfam family: Bacterial small subunit ribosomal RNA
Source: RNAcentral
CCUACGGGAGGCAGCAGUAGGGAAUCUUCCGCAAUGGACGAAAGUCUGACGGAGCAACGCCGCGUGAACGAAGAAGGCCUUCGGGUCGUAAAGUUCUGUUGUUAGGGAAGAACAAGUACCAGAGUAACUGCUGGUACCUUGACGGUACCUAACCAGAAAGCCACGGCUAACUACGUGCCAGCAGCCGCGGUAAUACGUAGGUGGCAAGCGUUGUCCGGAAUUAUUGGGCGUAAAGCGCGCGCAGGUGGUUCCUUAAGUCUGAUGUGAAAGCCCACGGCUCAACCGUGGAGGGUCAUUGGAAACUGGGGAACUUGAGUGCAGAAGAGGAAAGUGGAAUUCCAAGUGUAGCGGUGAAAUGCGUAGAGAUUUGGAGGAACACCAGUGGCGAAGGCGACUUUCUGGUCUGUAACUGACACUGAGGCGCGAAAGCGUGGGGAGCAAACAGGAUUAGAUACCCUGGUAGUCCACGCCGUAAACGAUGAGUGCUAAGUGUUAGAGGGUUUCCGCCCUUUAGUGCUGCAGCUAACGCAUUAAGCACUCCGCCUGGGGAUACGGCCGCAAGGCUGAACUUAAUGAAUUGACGGCUGAGAGNGCGAGCGACGACGAGGGAGAG